This 486-nucleotide ribosomal RNA is filed under the name uncultured bacterium. RNAcentral's name for it is "partial 16S ribosomal RNA". It matches the Rfam family "Bacterial small subunit ribosomal RNA", at positions 30 to 507 of the family's 1533-position model. The record is from RNAcentral.
AUUGAACGCUGGCGGCAUGCCUUACACAUGCAAGUCGAACGGCAGCACGGGUGCUUGCACCUGGUGGCGAGUGGCGAACGGGUGAGUAAUACAUCGGAACAUGUCCUGUAGUGGGGGAUAGCCCGGCGAAAGCCGGAUUAAUACCGCAUACGAACUACGGAUGAAAGCGGGGGACCUUCGGGCCUCGCGCUUUAGGGUUGGCCGAUGGCUGAUUAGCUAGUUGGUGGGGUAAAGGCCUACCAAGGCGACGAUCAGUAGCUGGUCUGAGAGGACGACCAGCCACACUGGGACUGAGACACGGCCCAGACUCCUACGGGAGGCAGCAGUGGGGAAUUUUGGACAAUGGGCGAAAGCCUGAUCCAGCAAUGCCGCGUGUGUGAAGAAGGCCUUCGGGUUGUAAAGCACUUUUGUCCGGAAAGAAAUCCUUGGCCCUAAUACGGUCGGGGGAUGACGGUACCGGAAGAAUAAGCACCGGCUAACUACGUG